This 471-nucleotide ribosomal RNA is filed under the name uncultured bacterium. RNAcentral's name for it is "SSU rRNA". It matches the Rfam family "Bacterial small subunit ribosomal RNA", at positions 26 to 518 of the family's 1533-position model. The record is from RNAcentral.
AGGACGAACGCUGGCGGCGUGCUUAACACAUGCAAGUCGAGCGGAAAGGCCCUUCGGGGUACUCGAGCGGCGAACGGGUGAGUAACACGUGAGUAACCUGCCCCUAGCUCUGGGAUAGCUCCGGGAAACCGGGAUUAAUACCAGAUACGACCACUUUAGACAUCUGUCGUGGUGGAAAGGAUUCCGGCUAGGGAUGGGCUCGCGGCCUAUCAGCUUGUUGGUGGGGUAACGCCUACCAAGGCGACGACGGUAGCCGGCCUGAGAGGGCGACCGGCCACACUGGGACUGAGACACGGCCCAGACUCCUACGGGAGGCAGCAGUGGGGAAUAUUGCGCAAUGGGCGAAAGCCUGACGCAGCGACGCCGCGUGGGGAUGAAGGCCUUCGGGUUGUAAACCCCUUUCAGCAGGGACGAAGCGAAAGUGACGGUACCUGCAGAAGAAGCGCCGGCUAACUACGUGCCAGCAGCCGC